This 413-nucleotide unclassified non-coding RNA is filed under the name soil metagenome. RNAcentral describes it as "partial contains 5.8S ribosomal RNA, internal transcribed spacer 2, and large subunit ribosomal RNA". The stretch from base 2 to 120 matches the Rfam family "5.8S ribosomal RNA", at positions 36 to 154 of the family's 154-position model. The record is from RNAcentral.
UAUGAAGAACGUAGCGAAAUGCGAUAAGUAAUGUGAAUUGCAGAAUUCAGUGAAUCAUCGAAUCUUUGAACGCACCUUGCGCUCUUUGGUAUUCCGAAGAGCAUGCCUGUUUGAGUGUCAUGAAAAUAUCAACCUUGACUUGGGUUUUGUGCUCUAGUCUCGGCUUGGAAUUGGGUGCUUGCCGCUUUUACGAGCGGCUCACCUUAAAUGUAUUAGCUGGAUCUGUCUUUGAGACUUGGUUUGACUUGGCGUAAUAAGUAUUUCGCUAAGGACAUUCUUCGGAGUGGCCUCGUUUCUAGGACGCUUGUCCGCUUUCCAAUACAAGUUCCACCUCGUGGACAUGACUUUUUAUUAUCUGGCCUCAAAUCAGGUAGGACUACCCGCUGAACUUAAGCAUAUCAAUAAGCGGAGGA